Molecule: ribosomal RNA, 439 nt
Filed under: uncultured bacterium
Lineage: Bacteria
Description: bacterial SSU rRNA
Rfam family: Bacterial small subunit ribosomal RNA
Source: RNAcentral
AACGCGAAGAACCUUACCUGGAUUUGACAUCCCUGGACAGCCCUAGAGAUAGGGUUUCCCCUUCGGGGGCCGGGAGACAGGUGCUGCAUGGCUGUCGUCAGCUCGUAUCGUGAGAUGUCGGGUUAAGUCCCUUAACGAGCGCAACCCUUGUCCCUAGUUGCCACCAUUCAGUUGGGCACUCUAGGGAGACUGCCGGUGUUAAACCGGAGGAAGGUGGGGAUGACGUCAAGUCCUCAUGGCCUUUAUAUCCAGGGCUACACACGUGCUACAAUGGCCGGUACAAAGGGAUGCCAACGCGCGAGCGGGAGCCAAUCUCAGAAAGCCGGUCUCAGUUCGAAUUGAAGUCUGCAACUCGACUUCAUGAAGCUGGAAUCGCUAGUAAUCGCGGAUCAGCAUGCCGCGGUGAAUACGUUCCCGGGCCUUGUACACACCGGUACUA